Molecule: transfer RNA, 77 nt
Filed under: Deltaproteobacteria bacterium
Lineage: Bacteria; Pseudomonadati; Myxococcota; Myxococcia
Description: tRNA-Arg
Rfam family: tRNA
About the family: Transfer RNA (tRNA) molecules are approximately 80 nucleotides in length. Their secondary structure includes four short double-helical elements and three loops (D, anti-codon, and T loops).
Source: RNAcentral
GCCUCCAUAGCUCAGGUGGAUAGAGCAACGGCCUUCUAAGCCGUCGGUCCCAGGUUCGAGUCCUGGUGGGGGCGCCU